UAAUCGGUCUUUUUUAAGACCAACACAACCUGAUUGAAGAAAUAUU
Echinostoma caproni is the source of this 46-nucleotide non-coding RNA. Lineage: Eukaryota; Metazoa; Platyhelminthes; Trematoda; Plagiorchiida; Echinostomatidae. The record is from Rfam.